AGAAGCGAGUGAGGAUGACAUGCUGGAAAGUAUGGCCAUAGCGGGUGAAAGCCCCAUGUCCGAAGCGAGCGGAAGCGUAGUGGUAUCCUGAGUAGCGCGGGACACGUGAAAUCCUGUGUGAAUCCGGCGGGCCCAUCCGCCAAGGCUAAAUACUCGUAAGAGACCGAUAGUGAACCAGUACCGUGAGGGAAAGGUGAAAAGCACCUCGAGCAGAGGAGUGAAAGAGUUCCUGAAACCGUACGCCUACAAGCGGUCGGAGCAUGUUUGCAUGUGACGGCGUGCCUUUUGCAUAAUGAACCUACGAGUUACCGUUGUUGGCAAGGUUAAGUGUCACGAGACACGUAUCCGAAGCGAAAGCGAGUCUGAACAGGGCGUUGAGUCAUCAGCGGUAGACGCGAAACCAAGUGAUCUACCCUUGUCCAGGUUGAAGUCCGGGUAACACCGGAUGGAGGACCGCACCAAUAAGCGUUGAAAAGCUUCUGGAUGAGGUGAGGGUAGGAGUGAAAGGCCAAUCAAACUUGGAGAUAGCUCGUACUCCCCGAAAUGCAUUUAGGUGCAGCCUUUUCCGUUCCCUGAUGGAGGUAGAGCGACUGAUUGGAUGCGAGGGUUUCACCGCCUAUCAAGUCCAGACAAACUCCGAAUGCCAUCAGGCCAGAGGAAAGGAGUGAGGGCAUGGGUGCUAAGGUCCGUGCCCGAGAGGAGAAGAAUCCGGACCGCCGGCUAAGGUCCCGAAAUACAGGUUAAGUUAGACUAACGCAGUAGGAUUCCUGUGACAGCUAGGAUGUUGGCUUGGAAGCAGCCAUUCAUUCAAAGAGUGCGUAACAGCUCACUAGUCGAGGGAUCCCGCAUGGAUAAUAAUCGGGUAUGAAACCUGUUACCGAAGCCGCGGGAUACGAUAAGGUAUCGGUAGGGGAGCAUUCCAGAUGCGUAGAAGGUGUCAGGACGACUGAUGCUGGAGCGUGUGGAAAAGCAAAUGUAGGUAUAAGUAACGAUAAAGGGGGUGAGAUGCCCCCUCGCCGAAAGGCCAAGGUUUCCUGGGCAACGUUAAUCGUCCCAGGGUCAGUCGGGUCCUAAGCAUAAUCCGAUGUGGAGAGUGCGAUGGCAGAAACGGUAAAGAUUCCGUUACUAUCCAAGGAUGCGAUGCGGAGACGGAGAAGUGACACUUCCGCGCCCUGACGGAAUAGGGCGUUGAAAUGCAAAGACGCAGAUGCGGGCAGGCAAAUCCACCCGCAGAGUUGAAGCAUGAGAGUAGAGGCAGCCUUCGGGUGAGCCUGAAAGUGAAGGUAAUCAGACUCCCGAGAAAAUCCGCUAAGCUCCAGUUCUUGGAUACCCGUACCGUAAACGGACACACGUGGCCGGGUAGAAUAUACUAAGGCGCUUGGGAGAUUCAUGGUUAAGGAACUAGGCAAAUUGACCCUGUAACUUCGGGAAAAAGGGUCCUCACGUGAGUGAGGCGCAGAGAAUAGGUCCAGGCAACUGUUUAACAAAAACACAGGACUGUGCAAAAUCGAAAGAUGCGGUAUACAGUCUGACACCUGCCCGGUGCCGGAAGGUUAAGAGGAGAUGUCAUCUUCGGAGAAGCAUUGAAUUGAAGCCCCGGUAAACGGCGGCCGUAACUAUAACGGUCCUAAGGUAGCGAAAUUCCUUGUCGGGU
This 1654-nucleotide ribosomal RNA is filed under the name human gut metagenome. RNAcentral describes it as "bacterial LSU rRNA". It matches the Rfam family "Bacterial large subunit ribosomal RNA", at positions 318 to 1977 of the family's 2925-position model. The record is from RNAcentral.